GGGCUUGUGGUCUAGUGGCUAUGACAUCUCCUUUACACGGAGAGGAUCGGAGGUUCGAGUCCUCCCUGGCCCA
RNAcentral lists this transfer RNA (73 nucleotides) under archaeon. RNAcentral's name for it is "tRNA-Val". It matches the Rfam family "tRNA". From Rfam's summary of the family: Transfer RNA (tRNA) molecules are approximately 80 nucleotides in length. The record is from RNAcentral. RNAcentral also lists the same sequence under 1 other name.